GCUUGGGGACAAAGUAACUUGGAGCUAAAGUAACGACUAACUUUUGUUGGAGAAGCAUCUUGCUUACUAGUGAAGUAAAGCAACUUUGUCAGUGGUGUGACCUACUGAUGGAAUAACUUGUCGGUGAAGCAUAUGGCAACUAACUCUAUUGGUGAAGCAUCUUUGCUAACAACUUUGUUGGUGAUGAGGUGGCCUGUCUAUGGACAGCUGAUAGCAUCUAGUUGGUAGAGCAUCU
Molecule: long non-coding RNA, 235 nt
Filed under: Elaeis guineensis (African oil palm)
Lineage: Eukaryota; Viridiplantae; Streptophyta; Magnoliopsida; Arecales; Arecaceae
Description: long non-coding RNA (EGUI_LNC062991)
Source: RNAcentral